RNAcentral lists this ribosomal RNA (497 nucleotides) under uncultured bacterium. Its description in RNAcentral is "partial 16S ribosomal RNA". It matches the Rfam family "Bacterial small subunit ribosomal RNA", at positions 28 to 507 of the family's 1533-position model. The record is from RNAcentral.
GAUGAACGCUGGCGGCGUGCCUAAUACAUGCAAGUCGAGCGAACGGACGAGGAGCUUGCUCCUUUGACGUUAGCGGCGGACGGGUGAGUAACACGUGGAUAACCUACCUAUAAGACUGGGAUAACUUCGGGAAACCGGAGCUAAUACCGGAUAAUAUAUUGAGCCGCAUGGUUCAAUAGUGAAAGACGGUUUUGCUGUCACUUAUAGAUGGAUCCGCGCCGCAUUAGCUAGUUGGUAAGGUAACGGCUUACCAAGGCAACGAUGCGUAGCCGACCUGAGAGGGUGAUCGGCCACACUGGAACUGAGACACGGUCCAGACUCCUACGGGAGGCAGCAGUAGGGAAUCUUCCGCAAUGGGCGAAAGCCUGACGGAGCAACGCCGCGUGAGUGAUGAAGGUCUUCGGAUCGUAAAACUCUGUUAUUAGGGAAGAACAAAUGUGUAAGUAACUAUGCACGUCUUGACGGUACCUAAUCAGAAAGCCACGGCUAACUACGUG